GAAAGGACCCUCUCUCACCUUUGUCUACCAGUGCUUGGCAAGCAGCUUCAUGAAAGGAGGGAUAGAGGGGUGAAGGAGGAAGAGAGUGUUCCAAGAUGUUGACACUUCUGCUCACGGUGGUUGAAAACACAGCUUAACCUAAUCCUGAUUGAUAGAGAGCUAUCGGGAAGGACAACCACUGGGCUUCUGAGAUGACCGGCUGGAAGCCUGAACCCGCCGGAUGGUCAUCUUGCCACCGCAUGGGAAGGAAGGUUGCCUGAAUAAAGCUGACAUAGAAGGAGGCAAGCUUCCUGAGGCCUCAACCAGGAGCAGAUGCCAGCACCAUGCUUCUUGCACAACCUGCAGAACCAGAAACCAAAAUAAACUUUUCUUUAUAAAUUACCCAGCCUCACACAUUCCUUC
RNAcentral lists this long non-coding RNA (402 nucleotides) under Homo sapiens (human). RNAcentral describes it as "HSALNT0136002". The record is from RNAcentral. Lineage: Eukaryota; Metazoa; Chordata; Mammalia; Primates; Hominidae.